Molecule: long non-coding RNA, 1981 nt
Organism: Xiphophorus couchianus (Monterrey platyfish)
Lineage: Eukaryota; Metazoa; Chordata; Actinopteri; Cyprinodontiformes; Poeciliidae
Exons: 2
Source: RefSeq, a predicted model, not a curated record
GCAAGAGGGACCUGAAUUUUAAUACAUGUAUGUAAAAACUGUUGCUGACAAAACCUCUGUUAACAUUGAAACCAACUUGCAAUGUUCUAAACUUUAAUUUUAUAAGGUAGCUCCACAGCAUUUGGAUAUGUAUGGACACCAACGUAACCAGGAGCGCAGUUGUGUAAGAAAUUCAAACAAAGUACAGUUUAUAUUUUUUCCCCUCUUUUGUAAACAUUUAUGUUGUCAGCUCUUGGUGACACAAUAAACAUUAAUUUAAUUCAGAAGUGGGAAAAAGUGUUUGCCCCCUCAAAAGAACCCCACAGCAACAUCCAAAAAGCUGCAGUCUUCAUUUGCCUCAGUUAAGGUCAGAGGUCAUGCCUCCACCAUAAGAAAGAGACUGGGCAAAAAUGGCAUGCAUGGCAGAGUUUUAAGAUGAAAACCUUUGCUGAAUAAGAGGAACAUUGAGGCUCUUUUCAAUUUUUCAAGAACACAUGUUGGGCCGAAGAGCGCUAUUCUAACCUCAACAUGGCUAUCUUGUGUUCAAGUUCUGUUCUUGGUUAUUUUGCCUCAUGUCUUUCCCCAUUCUCUAUGCUGUUUUCCAAAAGAAGGAACACAUCUGAUUCCUAAGAAUGGAAAGAUGAGCCAAAGUUUAAUUCUUUGGAAUGUGUGUGCCUGCCAUGACAGCUAGCAUAAAAGACCUGGAAGAUUUGCUGUGAUAACUGGAACCAUGAACUCUGCUGUCUACCAUAAAAUUGUGAAGAAGAACAUCCGUCCAUUGUUUUAUGACCUUAUAAUGAAACAAACUUGGGCUCUGCAGCAAUGAUCCAAAACACACCAGCAAGUCCACCUCUGAAUGGCCAAAGAAAAACAAAUCGAAGACUUUGUAGAGGCCCAGUCAAAGUCCUGACCUUAAUCCUGAGAUGCUGUGGCAUGACCUUUAAAAGGACCAUUCUUGUUCAAAAACUGUCCAAUGUGGCUGAUUUACAGCAAUUCCACAAAGAUGAGUGCCUUGCAAAAUUAUUCAAACUAUUUGCUAUUUUUCUAACAAACUUUAGAUUUUUUGUGAUUGCCAUUAAAAUGUGCAUAAUUGUAGAGAGAAAAUGCUAUGUAAAAUGUUUUCAAACUUUUUAACAAACACAAAUGUUAACUAGAAAUGUUAAUUUCCUAUGAAAAUGCAAGUGUGAAUGCUCAAUGCUUGAAUGCUUUUGGUGAAAAUGGCAAAAGUGUUUGAAGCCGACUACCGAAGACUUGCAGAAAGGUAAGAAAUAGUCAAUUCCGUGUGAAAAACCCAAGUAAAAGACAAAAUUAGCAAAAAAGUUAAAACUUAAUUUGGCUAGGUCACUAGCAUCUAGCCAAAAUUAACUAGAUCCUAAUGAUAGCAUUUAGGAUACCACUAACAUGCUGGGUUACAGUGAUAUAUUCCAUGCAAUGUAAAAAAAAAAAACCCUGAAAAAAACUGAUGUAAAACCUAAAAUUUGAAAAGGACAGAAAUGUUCCCCUAUUCCUUUUGAUAAAAACGGUGGGUGAAUAAAAUCCAUGCCUUUUAUGGUUCCUUACCUUUAAUUUUUUGGAGGCAUCGUUUAUCAUGGUGACUACAAAAAAAUAUGCCACAUGCAGUGCAAAAAAAGCAAUGUCAAAAGCUCAAAUUAUUCCCAGGUGUUAAACAGCAUAAAAGCUGUUUAACUGCCUUACUUCAAAAUGGCCACUGCUUUGUGUCCUCCGUGACAGCUCUGGAACUGGAUGAUUGAUUGCCAUUAAUAGGCAGGAUCUAAAACAUCCACUGUGAAACACAAUGGACAUUUUAUAUUGUAAUUCUCAGUUCUGCCACAGGAUGGGGCGGUUUCCCCCAUGGGGUGAAAAAUUCAUAAAAAGCUGAAUAUUAUAAAAAGUAUGAAGGUUAUGAAUACCAAGAGAUAUAGCCGGCAUUAGGAGAUCAAACUGAAUAGUACAAAAGUUGAAUGGUGAAAAUAGCACAAAGUAUGCAGGAGAAGAAGUGCGG